GUGCCAGUUCACUGACACAUAUACUAACAUUGGAACGACACAGAGAAGAUUAGCAUGGCCCCUAGGAUGACAUGCAAAUUCAUGAAGUGUUCCUGAUUUUU
Small nuclear RNA from Boleophthalmus pectinirostris (great blue-spotted mudskipper), 101 nucleotides. The record is from RefSeq and is a predicted model, not a curated record. NCBI's taxonomy places the organism in Eukaryota, Metazoa, Chordata, Actinopteri, Gobiiformes, Gobiidae.